Long non-coding RNA from Felis catus (domestic cat), 645 nucleotides. RefSeq lists it as uncharacterized. The transcript is spliced from 2 exons. NCBI's taxonomy places the organism in Eukaryota, Metazoa, Chordata, Mammalia, Carnivora, Felidae. The record is from RefSeq and is a predicted model, not a curated record.
UGCCUCCAUGCAAUUUCUCAAACAUGCCAGCCACAAGACAUUUGCUAUUCCUAGAUAGGAGGACAGGGUGGGAAAAUCUAGAUGGAAGUCAGCUGGGACCACCCUACUGUGUGACAGGAGGGUGUGUCGGCUGCUGCGGGUGCAGUCAUAGUAAGGGCAUGAUCUUCACAGGAACAGAAAGCAGAACAGUGCAUUCAAAUGUUUCUGAGGAUGAACUUUAGCAAGUAAUCGACUGGCCACAUGAUGCUCUGAGCCUCUCACUUCCCCCAUUUUCUGACCAGCCCUGAGAACAGAACCAAGAGGCUGAAGAAGGAAGCAGAGAAGUGCCAAGAAUUGCAGAAGAGGGGGGACAGGGUGAGCGGCCCCUGGGUGAGGGGUUCCAGCUGCAGCAGGAGAGACACCAGAGGGACGGGGCCAUAUGGCUGCCAUCGGCUCUUCUGCUACUCUCUGUCCCAGUGGUGUCCCGGAACCUUAGGAGCCCCUGGAAGGCCUUAAACACUCUGAUGACCCUGUGGAGCAUGUAGCAUCGUGGACCCACUGUUUUCUGGCAUUUCUGCUUUUAAAAGAGAAGUCAGAAGUGAAAUGGCUCAUGUUUACAUGUAGGCAACAACCUCCACUUAAAUAAAUAUUGUGAUCCAAGCAAAA